Molecule: ribosomal RNA, 301 nt
Filed under: uncultured bacterium
Lineage: Bacteria
Description: partial 16S ribosomal RNA
Rfam family: Bacterial small subunit ribosomal RNA
Source: RNAcentral
CAGCAGCCACGGUAAUACAGAGGGUGCAAGCGUUAAUCGGAUUUACUGGGCGUAAAGGGCGCGUAGGUGGUUAUGUAAGUGAGAUGUGAAAUCCCCGGGCUCAACCUGGGAACUGCAUCUUAUACUGCGUAGCUGGAGUGCAGUAGAGGGUAGUGGAAUUUCCGGUGUAGCGGUGAAAUGCGUAGAUAUCGGAAGGAACACCAGUGGCGAAGGCGGCUACCUGGACUGACACUGACACUGAGGCGCGAAAGCGUGGGGAGCAAACAGGAUUAGAUACCCCUGUAGUCCCUGUCUCUUAUAC